This 253-nucleotide ribosomal RNA is filed under the name uncultured bacterium. Its description in RNAcentral is "partial 16S ribosomal RNA". It matches the Rfam family "Bacterial small subunit ribosomal RNA", at positions 524 to 776 of the family's 1533-position model. The record is from RNAcentral.
UACGUAGGGGGCAAGCGUUAAUCGGAAUUACUGGGCGUAAAGCGUGCGCAGGCGGUUAUGUAGGACAGUUGUGAAAUCCCCGGGCUCAACCUGGGAACUGCAUCUGUGACUGCAUAGCUAGAGUACGGUAGAGGGGGAUGGAAUUCCGCGUGUAGCAGUGAAAUGCGUAGAUAUGCGGAGGAACACCGAUGGCGAAGGCAAUCCCCUGGACCUGUACUGACGCUCAUGCACGAAAGCGUGGGGAGCAAACAGG